AAGCAUUUAUGAUGGCUCAUUAUUAUAUAAUAGUGGGUGAGUUAUUGUGUGUAAUGUACUAGAUUUUUAAUAUAAAAAUAGUGUAAAUAAAAAUAGUGUAAGAUAUUAUUUUUAUUAGACUUAAAAAAAUAAAAUAUAAGUCGGAAAUGACUUGUACUGAAAUUGGAAUAGAAACAGAAAAUUUAAAAUUUUCUAUAAGGAACGGGACUGAUCUUUUAGCAGAAAAUUUAAAGUGUCAGAAAAUUAUGAAAAUUUAGGAAUAUGUCGGAAUUAUUUUUCUGAUGCUAGAUUUAAAGUUUUAUGUAUUUCCGACACCCGGAAAGUGAAAAACAAAAUCUGAUUGCUAUCUGUUAGUGAUUUUAGUCGGUAAACUUUUCGAUGACAAAAAAUGGUUCAAAACUGAAAAGUUAAGAUUUCGUUCUUCUUAUUGAUUUUAACCGAGCCUGACUGUCAAAUUUGAGAUCAAACGGACAUUCAGAAGAGCUCUGGCGAAAAGUAUCAGAUUUUGAACUUGACUAAAUUAUAAGUUGCAAUUAUUGGGGGGCCUAUAUGUG
Molecule: long non-coding RNA, 554 nt
Filed under: Ananas comosus (pineapple)
Lineage: Eukaryota; Viridiplantae; Streptophyta; Magnoliopsida; Poales; Bromeliaceae
Description: long non-coding RNA (ACOM_LNC017890)
Source: RNAcentral